CCACAUUCAGGGUGCUGCGGCACCCAACACUGACUGAUCCUGGGCGCCACCCCCAAUCAGACACAGCGCUGCGGCACAGCAUCCCAGGCGCCGUAAACAUAUCCAUUAGAGCACAAUUUUGGCCCGUUAACUCCAGAGAAAAUCCUAUUCUCUACACAUGGUAGGGGACCUAUAAAUAUGAAAAUUCUCGCACUUUAAAGGAGAUUCACA
This 210-nucleotide long non-coding RNA is filed under the name Olea europaea (common olive). RNAcentral describes it as "long non-coding RNA (OEUR_LNC012178)". The record is from RNAcentral. Lineage: Eukaryota; Viridiplantae; Streptophyta; Magnoliopsida; Lamiales; Oleaceae.